Molecule: ribosomal RNA, 386 nt
Filed under: uncultured Katablepharidophyta
Lineage: Eukaryota; Cryptophyceae; Kathablepharidacea
Description: partial small subunit ribosomal RNA
Rfam family: Eukaryotic small subunit ribosomal RNA
Source: RNAcentral
GCUUGUCUCAAAGAUUAAGCCAUGCAUGUCUAAGUGUAAAUAAGUCUAUACUGUGAAACUGCGAAUGGCUCAUUAAAUCAGUUAUCGUUUAUUUGAUGAUCUCUUACUACUUGGAUAACCGUAGUAAUUCUAGAGCUAAUACAUGCACAAAAUCCCGACUUACGAAGGGAUGUAUUUAUUAGAUACAAACCAACAUCGUGGUGAUUCAUAAUAACUUUGCGAAUCGUAUGCCUCACGGCGACGAUGAAUCAUUCAAAUUUCUGCCCUAUCAGCUUUCGACGGUAGUGUAGUGGACUACCGUGGCGCUAACGGGUGACGGAGAAUUAGGGUUCGGUUCCGGAGAGGGAGCCUGAGAAACGGCUACCACAUCCAAGGAAGGCAGCAGG